This 440-nucleotide ribosomal RNA is filed under the name uncultured bacterium. RNAcentral describes it as "partial 16S ribosomal RNA". It matches the Rfam family "Bacterial small subunit ribosomal RNA", at positions 338 to 795 of the family's 1533-position model. The record is from RNAcentral.
CCUACGGGUGGCAGCAGUGAGGAAUAUUGGUCAAUGGACGCAAGUCUGAACCAGCAACGUCGCGUGGAGGAUGAAGGUUUUCGGAUUGUAAACUCCUUUUGUUAGAGAAGAUAAUGACGGUAUCUAACGAAUAAGCACCGGCUAACUCCGUGCCAGCAGCCGCGGUAAUACGGAGGGUGCAAGCGUUACUCGGAAUCACUGGGCGUAAAGAGCGCGUAGGCGGGAUAGCAAGUCAGAUGUGAAAUCCUAUGGCUUAACCAUAGAACUGCAUUUGAAACUGUUAUUCUAGAGUAUGGGGAAGGUAGGUGGAAUUCGUGGUGUAGGGGUAAAAUCCGUAGAGAUCAAGAGGAAUACUCAUUGCGAAGGCGACCUGCUAGAACAUAACUGACGCUGAUGCGCGAAAGCGUGGGGAGCAAACAGGAUUAGAUACCCCAGUAGUC